UUGCCAAGCCGUAAGGUGGAGCUAAUCCCUUAAAGCUACUCUCAGUUCGGAUUGUAGGCUGAAACUCGCCUACAUGAAGCUGGAGUUACUAGUAAUCGCAGAUCAGAAUGCUGCGGUGAAUGCGUUCCCGGGUCUUGUACACACCGCCCGUCACACCACGGGAGUUGGAGACGCCCGAAGCCGAUUAUCUAACCUUUUGGAAGAAGUCGUCGAAGGUGGAAUCAAUAACUGGGGUGAAGUCGUAACAAGGUAGCCGUAUCGGAAGGUGCGGCUGGAUCACCUCCUUU
RNAcentral lists this ribosomal RNA (287 nucleotides) under Pseudomonas aeruginosa. Its description in RNAcentral is "partial 16S ribosomal RNA". It matches the Rfam family "Bacterial small subunit ribosomal RNA", at positions 1247 to 1533 of the family's 1533-position model. The record is from RNAcentral. Lineage: Bacteria; Pseudomonadati; Pseudomonadota; Gammaproteobacteria; Pseudomonadales; Pseudomonadaceae.